AAAGAUCAUCUCUACAAAAAAAUCACUUGAAUCCGAUAUCAUUUGAACAUUCAAUUGAGUAAUAGAAAUUUAUAUUGACUUAUGGUUCAAUUGAAGCACCGUGUUCGUUGAUUUUGUAGGAUACAAUUGGAUGUCGAAAUGGUUUCCGAUUUGUCUACCUUUUUGCAAGGAUGAUCUAUGAAUAUUGACUUAAAAAAUAGAUGGUUU
Molecule: long non-coding RNA, 207 nt
Filed under: Prunus persica (peach)
Lineage: Eukaryota; Viridiplantae; Streptophyta; Magnoliopsida; Rosales; Rosaceae
Description: long non-coding RNA (PPER_LNC000893)
Source: RNAcentral